UGUAAGUCCACGUCCUCUUGCCCCAUUUGGCGAUAAUCCUCUAGCAUCAGCUUGAGAACUGGAUGGAGGAGGUGGUGGAGCACCAGGUGCUCUAGGUGGGGCUGGUGGCAGAGGUGUACGUGCUCCAGGAGGAGGCGGUGGAGGAGGUGUACGUCCUCCAGGAGGAGGCGGUGGCGGAGGGGCACUACCACGUGGACCUGGAGGAGGGGGUGGAGGAGGAGCACUACCACGUGGACCUGGAGGAGGGGGUGGAGGAGGAGCACUACCACGUGGACCUGGAGGAGGGGGUGGAAGUGGGACAUUACCUCGUGAGCCAGGAGGAGGCGGUGGAGGAGGGGCACCACCACGUAGAACUGGAGGAGGGGGUGGUGGUGGGGCACUGACUCGUGAGCCAGGAGGAGGUGGAGGACCUGGCGGAGGUGGUGGAGGAGGAGCACCACUACGUGGGCCAAGAUGCGGUGGUGGAGGUGGUGGAGGAGGAGCACCACUACAUGGACCAAGUACAGGAGGAGGAGGAGGAGGUGGUGGUGGUGG
This 534-nucleotide long non-coding RNA is filed under the name Musa acuminata (dwarf banana). RNAcentral's name for it is "long non-coding RNA (MACU_LNC004238)". Lineage: Eukaryota; Viridiplantae; Streptophyta; Magnoliopsida; Zingiberales; Musaceae. The record is from RNAcentral.